GGCUACGUAGCUCAGCUGGUUAGAGCGGUCGACUCAUAAUCGACAGGUCGGUGGUUCAAGUCCACCCGUAGCCACCA
This 77-nucleotide transfer RNA is filed under the name Gammaproteobacteria bacterium. RNAcentral describes it as "tRNA-Met". It matches the Rfam family "tRNA". From Rfam's summary of the family: Transfer RNA (tRNA) molecules are approximately 80 nucleotides in length. Their secondary structure includes four short double-helical elements and three loops (D, anti-codon, and T loops). The record is from RNAcentral. Lineage: Bacteria; Pseudomonadati; Pseudomonadota; Gammaproteobacteria.